Panicum virgatum (switchgrass) is the source of this 2261-nucleotide long non-coding RNA. RefSeq lists it as uncharacterized. The record is from RefSeq and is a predicted model, not a curated record. The transcript is spliced from 5 exons. NCBI's taxonomy places the organism in Eukaryota, Viridiplantae, Streptophyta, Magnoliopsida, Poales, Poaceae.
CGGCACCUGACUCCCCGUGCCCAACCCCUCUCCCCCCAAGCCAACGCUCGACAUCCCGCUUCUGCGCUUGAACCCCCUCCCCCCGCGCUGGAUUUUGCGUGUUCCAUGGAGGCCCGAGCUCGUAUUCUGUCGGCUGUUUUCCAUCUUUCCAUCCCUAUCUCGCCUGGGUUUGGAGACAGAUUUGCGGCGUUGAAGAUUGGCGGCGCCAAAUUGUUCUUACGCGACUGCAGGUUUCUAUCUUUUUCCUUCGCCGUGGAUUUGACUGGAUAAAUGAGACGUGAAGCCCUCCUGCGCAAGGAUGAAUUCUCGAAGAAGAUUAGUGCACAUGAUUCAUAUCAAUACGAGGAGGGUGGUCUUUGAGAGCUCCCACGAGGUGUUUGUGGUUCCCCUCCAUGAUCAGGGAGGGCUGGUUGCAGGGAUGUCAAAGUCAGAAGAAUGGUGGAAAAUGUUGUACUAGACUUAGUAUUAGGUGCAACCCUGGAGAUGUGGUAUUGAGAAUUCAAUUGCUCAAUCCUGAUCAGUAUGUGGCCAUCGAGGCUCUCGGUUUUGGUCACCGGGAUGGAAGGAGUUAAGUUUAGGAAUCAGCUGAUUCAGGACCUGCAGGAGGAGAUCCUGAAGGGACAGCCGGACAACCUUAGCUGCAUCCUUCUUCAUGAUUCUUUUCAACUGGUUUUUGUUCCCCACAAGUAGCUAUAACAUUGAUUUGAGCCAAAUCAAAAGGGCAAUGCAUCCUGAAACCUUCUGCGCCCAAGCUGUAUUCCAUGAAUAGUUUGUAGUUCGUAGAUGGCAAAGAAUUGUCCCAAAUAAUUUAUGGCUGCACUUGUCUCCUGAUCAUAAGUUUUCUUCGGACCGAAUUAGGUGCAGGGAUAGAACCGAUACGUACAGCUUCCUACCAUUUAAGAGCUGGGCAAGAACUUGUUACGUUGCAGCUGACAGUGCACCGGAUGAAUUUUGCAAAUGGACAUGAAGUGCAUCGGAGAAGGUAAGGUACAUUCCACCAGUUGCAAGUGCCUGCAUUAUCUUACUAUGUUCAUUAAUAUUUGAUAUAUUCUGUAUGGUUACAAAAUCCCCGUCUAUGCCAUAUCCACGAGCUCCCUAACUAAUUGACUGUAAAUAAGCUAGUAUAGUAUAGAUAAAAAGAUCAUGUUGUCUCUGUUAUUUCAGCUGGCCAGUUAUUAUUGAUUAGUUCAGAUAAAGUCCCUCGCUGGUGAUGGCAUCCUGAUAAAUUUUCUUUUCCUCGCACAAUUGACACAAAGGUUAGUGCAUAUUGACUUGCUGACUGCAGUAGUCUUAAUUGAACCUGUCCACCUGGAUUAUCGAUAAUCAGUUCAUCCUGAGUCUGAGAUUCAGAUAGACUUCUCUGCAAUUCUGUAGUUCAUUGAUGAGGUGUCCUGUGGUUCUGAGCUUAGACACGAGCCAGAUGCCAUGUAUAGCAGAUUAUAAAGUUUUGAUUGGGUGUACAGCACCAUAGGGUGUCCUGGUGCUGAUUCUUGGGGCGACGAGCUGCCAUAUAUACUUUUAGCACGGCUUUGCUACUGACCAAUUGAUGUUUCACUUGAUACUGAAUUUUUCUUUAGGGAAACUGUUCAACUGAAACUGAUUAGGAUUUACCAAUUUUGGUAUAUUAUCCCAUCAUGUGUAGACUAAUGUUAGAUCAUAGAUUUACCCAUUGUCAACAGCAUCUGCUUGUGAAACUGUAUCCGAACAAACCAUGCCAUGAGACGAGGCUGUGAGCAUACUAACUAUAGCAGAUUGUAGAAAUAGGGUCAAUGAAAAAUGAACUUGUGCUCUGUGUUUAUGAAUGCAAUCAUUUACAAAUGUUCUGAAGCUGGACUUGAAAACAGUGUGGUUCGUGAUACUACUUUUUGCCUAGCUAUAUAUAUUCUUUUGGUCGAUUUCUUUACAAAGACCUGUUUGUUCUUUUGCUGAUUGAUAUUGGAUAUCUUGCAUGUGACAAUCUAGUGGUGAAGGCUUGCUCAAGAAAUGGGCACAACCAAUAGCAUCUCAAACUCUGGCUAACAUAGGCAAAGAGCUAGUCUUUCACUUUGGUUGAUAAGAAUUCCGAUGGCUGAGUUCUGGGAAAUUGAUUUGCGAAGUCUAGUCAAGAGCAUCUAGGCGGGGAUGUAAAGUAUAUGGGCCUGGUACCCAUAUCCUGCUAGUAGCAUAGUGCACAUUUUUCCUUGUGACGAAUCCAGUAUUUGGUGCAACAGAUAUUCGCUGUCUGAUCAUAUUUGCCAACUUUUCCUGCAGCAUUUAUUUCA